Long non-coding RNA from Carassius gibelio (silver crucian carp), 1121 nucleotides. RefSeq lists it as uncharacterized. Lineage: Eukaryota; Metazoa; Chordata; Actinopteri; Cypriniformes; Cyprinidae. The transcript has 3 exons. The record is from RefSeq and is a predicted model, not a curated record.
UGUCCUGUCUACACCAGAGGAAAAGCAAAUCUAACCCAUUGUUUUGACGUACUAAACGUGCUACAGUCUGCUUACAACAGGACAUCUUGCAGGCGGAUUAUGUGUUUAUGCAGAGCAUUUGACUAAUGAUUGUUUUGUAAAUGAGGCACAGAGUUCGUAAAGUAUGUCUUUUUGAAAGAUUUAGCAGCCAACUGAAUGCGAUCUAACACCAGCUGCAUCGAAAACCGUUCUUGCCAGGUUUGUUGGUUUCUGAUCCUGGGUCAGUGGGGGAUUUCUGCACGACAGGCCGCACCCCGAAGAGGCUCCAUCGCUCUCCUCCCCGUCCUCCUCCUUCAUUACCUCCCAUCGAAACGCUUGUGAUGAAACUGCUGGACUUAAAUGGAGUAUGGAGGUAUCCGUUUCCACAGCGCUGACCCCCGUACAUGACCCUGGUGUUGGGAGGGUUGAACAAACACUUCCCUCCACCGGAGCUCAGGUAGCGCUUCAGCUCUUUCUGAUUGCAGGGGUUGAAGACACGAGGGAACGGAUCCCUGGAGAACAUUGACAUUUAUGCCGAGUUGAUUUUAAAGGGACGGUUCAGCAAAAAUGGAAAAUCUGUCAUCAUGCUUGAAAUUGUACAGCAUCUUUUUCUUUGGUUCUCACCCUGUGGCAGCAGCCAUAAUGCAGCCUCCAUCCUUAGGCUGAGAGAGACAGCAACCUGGACUAUCAUGGCUCAUCCCAAAGUUAUGCCCCAUCUCAUGAGCCAUGGUGGCAGCAACCCCCACAGCACUGCUAGAGUGGUCCUACAGAGAGAGAGAGAGAGAGAGAGGCAGACGAAACAAAAACUUAGUGCAUACAGCUAUAAAAACUCAAUGGAAUACUGCUGUAGGUAAAUUUACCGAAUUGACUCCACCAGACUGGUAUUCAGAACACAUGGCUUUAAGGGGAGCCAGACCAAUGAUGGUGCCCUUAAAAGAAACACCCCUACAAACACAACAAAAACAACUUGUGAAAUUCCAAUGAAAACAAAGGAAACCGAAUCAAACCAAUGCACUGCCUAGCUGAACAGAUACAAUCAUUUAAAAUGAUAGUCACCCACAAAUGAAAAUUGUGUCAUCUACUCACUCACAUUUCCUUCCAAA